UCCUAGCCCUGAUUGCAACGGAAAUCCUUUUUAUACGCUUUUUCGGCGAAUAAAAAGAUUGAAGAGAAAAGCGGGAAAUAGC
This 82-nucleotide small RNA is filed under the name Flavobacterium urumqiense. RNAcentral's name for it is "Flavo-1 RNA". It matches the Rfam family "Flavo-1 RNA". Lineage: Bacteria; Pseudomonadati; Bacteroidota; Flavobacteriia; Flavobacteriales; Flavobacteriaceae. The record is from RNAcentral.